UACGGAAGGCAGCAGUGGGGAAUAUUGCACAAUGGGCGCAAGCCUGAUGCAGCCAUGCCGCGUGUAUGAAGAAGGCCUUCGGGUUGUAAAGUACUUUCAGUCGUGAGGAAGGUGUUAAGGUUAAUAACCUUAGCAAUUGACGUUAGCGACAGAAGAAGCACCGGCUAACUCCGUGCCAGCAGCCGCGGUAAUACGGAGGGUGCGAGCGUUAAUCGGAAUUACUGGGCGUAAAGGGCACGCAGGCGGUUAAUUAAGUUGGAUGUGAAAUCCCCGGGCUUAACCUGGGAAUGGCAUUCAAGACUGGUUAGCUAGAGUCUUGUAGAGGGGGUAGAAUUCCAUGUGUAGCGGUGAAAUGCGUAGAGAUGUGGAGGAAUACCGGUGGCGAAAGGCGGCCCCUGGACAAAGACUGACGCUCAUGUGCGAAAGCGUGGGGAGCAAAACAGGAUUAGAUAC
This 453-nucleotide ribosomal RNA is filed under the name uncultured bacterium. RNAcentral's name for it is "bacterial SSU rRNA". It matches the Rfam family "Bacterial small subunit ribosomal RNA", at positions 340 to 785 of the family's 1533-position model. The record is from RNAcentral.